CCUACGGGAGGCAGCAGUGGGGAAUAUUGGGCAAUGGGCGCAAGCCUGACCCAGCAACGCCGCGUGAAGGAAGAAGGCUUUCGGGUUGUAAACUUCUUUUCUCAGGGACGAAGCAAGUGACGGUACCUGAGGAAUAAGCCACGGCUAACUACGUGCCAGCAGCCGCGGGAAUACGUAGGUGGCAAGCGUUAUCCGGAUUUACUGGGUGUAAAGGGCGUGUAGGUGGGAAAGCAAGGCAGAUGUGAAAACCAUGGGCUCAACCUGUGGCCUGCAUUUGAAACUGUUUUUCUUGAGUACUGGAGAGGCAGGCGGAAUUCCUAGUGUAGCGGUGAAAUGCGUAGAUAUUAGGAAGAACACCAGUGGCGAAGGCGGUCUGCUGGACAGCAACUGACGCUGAGGCGCGAAAGCGUGGGGAGCAAACAGGAUUAGAUACCCCUGUAGUC
Molecule: ribosomal RNA, 443 nt
Filed under: uncultured bacterium
Lineage: Bacteria
Description: partial 16S ribosomal RNA
Rfam family: Bacterial small subunit ribosomal RNA
Source: RNAcentral